This 1264-nucleotide long non-coding RNA is filed under the name Carassius auratus (goldfish). RNAcentral's name for it is "lncRNA (ENSCARG00000005547.1)". The record is from RNAcentral. Lineage: Eukaryota; Metazoa; Chordata; Actinopteri; Cypriniformes; Cyprinidae.
CGGUGUUUCGUCUAAUGAUUUUUCUUUUCUGUUCUGUUAGUAACUGAGUGAAACCUUGUAUAAUAUCAUAAUACUGUUGCAGCAUGAUGCAUUACGCACAAGUGUGGUCAGAUCAGCUGGUUCAGCAAAAAGCCAAGAGCUGUUCUAGAGGAAAAGUGUUUGUGCAAGGAGCAACACCAAAUUUCACACUCUAUGUUAUGCUCAUUGGUUUCUGAAUCAUCUUGGUUGACAAGUGGUUGACUUUGCCUGUGAAAACACAGAGGUGCUUCCUGUGUUACUUUUACGCAUCACCACUCUGAGGUGUUGAGUUGAUUUUUAUUCUCCUCUUAGCAGGCUACAGCAAUGGAUACGGCAGUGAGGUUUAUGGCACAGCAGAUGGUUAUGGGGCAGGACCUGGCUACCCAUCAGUAUUAGCUGAUAACAUUGGCCUGAAUGGUAUAGCUGGUCUUGGAGCUGGAGGCCUUGGAGGUCCAGGGCUGGUGGUGAACCCUGGCCUGGGUACUGAUGCCAAGUCGAGAAAGUAUGGGGCUGGUGGAGUUCUUGGAGCUGCCGGAUCCUUGCCUUACGGUGGCCAGCCUGUGGUCUCAGCUGGAGUUGGCCAUCAGGGCAAGACUGGUACUUAUGGUGGAACUACAUACAGAGGAAUACCAACCCUUGGGCCAGACACUGCUUUGGGUGGUACAGGUGGAGCAAUGGAGCCUUUAGCAGGCGGAGCUGUAGGCCAGAUUCCUUACAGCGCACCAGUCAUUGCAGCUGGGCUUGAGGGUAAGUUGGUAAGAACAAGAGAAAUAGAGAACAUCACGUACUCUGAUUGUGACACAGGUGUAAAUGUGUUUACCUGCAGUUGAUGCUGAUUAUGCUUUUGGUGCUGAGCAACUCGGUCUGGGUGCUGAUGCUACAAAGACAGCCGCCAAAUAUGGUGAGAAUAUGAGCAGUAUCAUUUAAUACGUAUACAUAUCAUAUAUCUAUUAUAAGAACCACUACCAUAAAAAGUUUGGGGUCAAUGAGAUGCGUUUUUUUUUUUUUUUUUUUUUUUUUUAAAGAGCCAUAACAGGAAUAAAUUACAUUGUAAAAUAGAAAACAGUUGUUUUCAAUUUUUAUAUUAUUUCACAAUAUGUUUUUUUAAAUAUAGUAUUUUUUUUAAUCAAGUAAAUGGAGUCUGGUUGAGCAUAAGAUACUACUUUUAAAAACAUGACCCCAAACUUUUAAACAGUAGUGUAUGCAUUAAAUCUCUUAUAUCUGCUGAUUAAAUAACUAAAUAAAA